RNAcentral lists this ribosomal RNA (1446 nucleotides) under uncultured organism. Its description in RNAcentral is "SSU rRNA". It matches the Rfam family "Bacterial small subunit ribosomal RNA". The record is from RNAcentral.
CUACAGGCUUAACACAUGCAAGUCGAGGGGCAGCAUGGUCUUAGCUUGCUAAGGCCGAUGGCGACCGGCGCACGGGUGAGUAACACGUAUCCAACCUGCCGUCUACUCUUGGACAGCCUUCUGAAAGGAAGAUUAAUACAAGAUGGCAUCAUGAGUCCGCAUGUUCACAUGAUUAAAGGUAUUCCGGUAGACGAUGGGGAUGCGUUCCAUUAGAUAGUAGGCGGGGUAACGGCCCACCUAGUCUUCGAUGGAUAGGGGUUCUGAGAGGAAGGUCCCCCACAUUGGAACUGAGACACGGUCCAAACUCCUACGGGAGGCAGCAGUGAGGAAUAUUGGUCAAUGGGCGAGAGCCUGAACCAGCCAAGUAGCGUGAAGGAUGACUGCCCUAUGGGUUGUAAACUUCUUUUAUAAAGGAAUAAAGUCGGGUAUGCAUACCCGUUUGCAUGUACUUUAUGAAUAAGAAUCGGCUAACUCCGUGCCAGCAGCCGCGGUAAUACGGAGGAUCCGAGCGUUAUCCGGAUUUAUUGGGUUUAAAGGGAGCGUAGAUGGAUGUUUAAGUCAGUUGUGAAAGUUUGCGGCUCAACCGUAAAAUUGCAGUUGAUACUGGAUAUCUUGAGUGCAGUUGAGGCAGGCGGAAUUCGUGGUGUAGCGGUGAAAUGCUUAGAUAUCACGAAGAACUCCGAUUGCGAAGGCAGCCUGCUAAGCUGCAACUGACAUUGAGGCUCGAAAGUGUGGGUAUCAAACAGGAUUAGAUACCCUGGUAGUCCACACGGUAAACGAUGAAUACUCGCUGUUUGCGAUAUACAGCAAGCGGCCAAGCGAAAGCGUUAAGUAUUCCACCUGGGGAGUACGCCGGCAACGGUGAAACUCAAAGGAAUUGACGGGGGCCCGCACAAGCGGAGGAACAUGUGGUUUAAUUCGAUGAUACGCGAGGAACCUUACCCGGGCUUAAAUUGCAGAUGAAUUACGGUGAAAGCCGUAAGCCGCAAGGCAUCUGUGAAGGUGCUGCAUGGUUGUCGUCAGCUCGUGCCGUGAGGUGUCGGCUUAAGUGCCAUAACGAGCGCAACCCUUGUUGUCAGUUACUAACAGGUUCCGCUGAGGACUCUGACAAGACUGCCAUCGUAAGAUGUGAGGAAGGUGGGGAUGACGUCAAAUCAGCACGGCCCUUACGUCCGGGGCUACACACGUGUUACAAUGGGGGGUACAGAGGGCCGCUACCACGCGAGUGGAUGCCAAUCCCAAAAACUUCUCUCAGUUCGGACUGGAGUCUGCAACCCGACUCCACGAAGCUGGAUUCGCUAGUAAUCGCGCAUCAGCCACGGCGCGGUGAAUACGUUCCCGGGCCCUGUACACACCGCCCGUCAAGCCAUGGGAGCCGGGGGUACCUGAAGUGCGUAACCGCGAGGAGCGCCCUAGGGUAAAACUGGUGACUGGGGCUAAGUCAUA